AAAGACCCCGGGACCUUCACUAUAGCUUGGUAUUGGUGUUCGGUUCGGUUUGUGUAGGAUAGGUGGGAGACUGUGAAGUGGGCACGCCAGUGUUCAUGGAGUCGUUGUUGAAAUACCACUCUGAUCGUAUUGGACUUCUAACCUCGGACCCUGAUCGGGUUCAGGGACAGUGCCUGGUGGGUAGUUUAACUGGGGCGGUUGCCUCCUAAAAGGUAACGGAGGCGCCCAAAGGUUCCCUCAGCCUGGUUGGCAAUCAGGUGUUGAGUGUAAGUGCACAAGGGAGCUUGACUGUGAGACGUACAUGUCGAGCAGGGACGAAAGUCGGGACUAGUGAUCCGGCACCGGCAAGUGGAAGCGGUGUCGCUCAACGGAUAAAAGGUACCCCGGGGAUAACAGGCUGAUCUUCCCCAAGAGUCCAUAUCGACGGGAUGGUUUGGCACCUCGAUGUCGGCUCGUCGCAUCCUGGGGCUGGAGUAGGUCCCAAGGGUUGGGCUGUUCGCCCAUUAAAGCGGCACGCGAGCUGGGUUUAGAACGUCGUGAGACAGUUCGGUCUCUAUCCGCCGCGCGCGUAAGAAACUUGAGGAAACCUGUCCCUAGUACGAGAGGACCGGGACGGACGAACCUCUGGUGUGCCAGUUGUCCCGCCAGGGGCACUGCUGGUUAGCUACGUUCGGAAGGGAUAACCGCUGAAAGCAUCUAAGCGGGAAGCCUGUUCCAAGAUGAGGUUUCUCACCCCCUUCGCGGGGUUAAGGCCCCCCACAGACCAUGGGGUUGAUAGGCCAGAACUGUACGCACAGCAAUGUGUUCAGGUGACUGGUACUAAUCGGCCGAGGACUUACCAACAACAC
RNAcentral lists this ribosomal RNA (848 nucleotides) under Gordonia sp. UCD-TK1. RNAcentral's name for it is "bacterial LSU rRNA". It matches the Rfam family "Bacterial large subunit ribosomal RNA", at positions 2084 to 2925 of the family's 2925-position model. The record is from RNAcentral. Lineage: Bacteria; Bacillati; Actinomycetota; Actinomycetes; Mycobacteriales; Gordoniaceae.